AAUCGUUCGAAGCAAACCAGUGCAUUCGCUCUUUCUCGGUUCUCUUCUCACGUAUCGCGGUUUCCUUCGUUCGUCGAAGUCGCUCGCCGCUCAUCCCCCGCAGCCGGAGGCUUGCGGAGGAGGAGAAAGAGACACUGAAACCUUGAGAGUUUUGACGUCCUCGCACGGCGCUUUCUUUCCAUGUGGCCUGCCGUCUCUUCGCUUCUUCAUCGAUGAAGAAGAUUUUUGGGAGUUGCUUUUGGGCUACCAUGAAGCUGUUAUACCAUGUGACAUGUUUGAUUUUAUGCACAAUGCCGUGGCACUAGCUUCAACUGGUUGAAUCCGUGGACGGAUCUGCUACCAUCUGUUGUUGCUUUCAGCUGCUAGAAACGUCUUGCUAAAAGGGAAGUCUACCAAGGGUGGGCGUAAGGUCAUCGCUCGCAGGUUGGCAAAGGGCAGAGCAAGGAUUGCGGUCUAGGAUGUUGCUGUAACAAGUCAGAUGGAUGCGGGUGGUACAGGAUCAUGCCAUGGCGACUCCAUAUCUCCAUGAUCCGAGAUGUUGAGAUCAGAUGCUCAGUAUUACUGCAGAGUUUUAGUGUUAAAAAUUGGAAAUCUCUUAGUGCAACUAUUAUUUGUAAACUUGUCAUUGGGUGUUCUUCAUCUAUUUUCCAAUAUUUCUUUUGGUUCAAUUUACAUUGACAUGGAGAAUUUCAAAUGGAUGUUGUUAUGAAUAAUUUUGUUUUACACAAAGAUAGCUUUAUGAAGAGAAAUGGAUGAAGAGGCAUGCCUUGUAGUGUUUAUUAACCAUCUCUCCUCAUCUUGAAGUGUAUACAGGUUCAAAUAUUUGACCCAGGUAAUUCUCCUGGUGGGGAUUAUGAUGUGCAUCCAAGGGAUUCUCCAUUGUGCUGAUGUGAGUGCUCCAAAUCAGAGUCCGACAGUACUAUCUCCUCUGAGGUAAGACGGCACAAUCGCUGGUCCAAACAUGAUCAUCCCACAAUCAUCAUCAGUCAAUUCUUCCCUCUAGAAUUGAUUUCAUGUGAUCUCCUGACCCCACAGGUUUGGCCAACUUCUACAGAUCUCACCAAUGUGCAUCAUGCUUCUUGGAUUGAGGGAGACAAAGAAGCAAAGGUGUCAUUGUACCAAGUAGGACUAUGUCCUGUAGCUCAAUAGCAGGCCCCCAAAUAAGGUUUGCUGACUCUCUCCUCUGAAAGCUGCACUUUGUUGGAUGUACUGCAUUAUUUGAGUUGUGCGCCUCACAAGCCAGGACAUGGAUCCUUGCCAUCGAACAGAUAAGAAAUCUGCGGCCUGCAAAGCCAUCAAGAUGCUAAUGGCUACCUGCCUUUGAUGCAUACUGCCAUUCUGCUGCAGAAUAAGGCAAGUAAGGUGGAUCCAACAAAGCUGGGAGUUCAAGUCAUCAUACAUCAGUAUAAUACACAGUGAAAUUCCUAGUAUUGUCUUCACUGGCUGUUCAUGGAUCACAAGCAGCUCACCCUGUGGUCUGGAUGGAGACAUGCUCUUCCUCAACAAUUUCCAUCUCCCACCUGCACACGCAGAGAGGAUAAGAGAGGAUCAGUGACACAACACACGCCAAGGUAAAAUGAUUGAUAGCAGGGCUGGGCUGUGCUGUGCCAAAGAAACUUUUCCCUGCCCACUUGCCUGCUAAAUGGCAAAUCUGUGUCUGCGCCUCAUACAAUGCAGAAACAAAGAAAGAAACAAAAGCUUGAAAUGCCUCUUCUGCCUUCAGAUCUACCUCCAUCCUCCGCAUUCCUAUGGCUCUCUGAAACUUGCAGCAGUACAUGACAAUGAAUUAUAGGGUGGCAUCUUGGAAUCUAAUAUGUUGUACUUCACCCUUAUAUCUGCCGUUCAUUCUCACUGUUUUUGUUUCCGUAUGAAGGUUUAACCCAUUGUUAUCUGUUCCUUUUCUUAUCAUCUCUUCCCCAGGAAUGUUCCUCUUUGCUGCCCUCAUAACAAAAUUCCAAAUGCUUGUGGUAUAUAAUUUUAUUUUACUAUUUGGAAUAUAAUUUUAUUUUAUUCCAAAUAUUUUUUUAAUUUUGUCAACCAUUAUCUAAUGAUAAGGUGGUUCGAGUCUUAAAAAUAACCUCUUGAUAAAUCUAAGACGGCAUAUAUUAAUCUUAGUUUAUUCUCAUAUUUGACUUUGCCUAUAAUAUAAAUUGUAAUAUUUCAACUAUUUAAAUUAAUUAUAUGAAUCUUUUUUUUUAUCAUCGAAUGUUAUACUAAUCGAAUCAAGCGCAAUGAAUUCGUAAGUGUUUUCUUUAUUUCUUCUCGUACCACUGAUAAUAAAUAUCUCGUAGUACCAUCUAUUUAAAUCUUCAGCUAAAUAAUCUUUUUAUAUUUUAUUUCUUCAAUGGUGCUAUGGUUAAUUACUCACAAAAUUAAAAAGAAUGAAUAAUUAGGAGUACUUGGGAGAUUGCCUUCAACAACUGUUCCCUUCUCUCCAUAUGCCAUGUAUAUAUUCCCAUCUGAAUACCUCCUCAGGAGAUUCCUUGCAUUCAGGUACUCCCUCUCUUCACUGUAGAAGGUAUGCAACAACUCCCCAUCUCCCUCUUGAAAUGUUCCAUCAAGAUCAAAAUCACCAAGUCCAACUACCAAAUGUCCAUCAUCAGCAGCAUCAAGGACAAGAAUGGGUCAGAUAUCUGCACUUGUCUCCAACGUACUGCUCGUCGCAGCCCAAUGAUCCCCUGCUGAUGACCGGAUCAGGCACAAGCAGCAACGACGAACUCGUCAGAGAAGCCGAGCAUGAAUCGAGCCUGCGGUGGACGAGGAAGACGGUGGCUUCAGAUGAACCUGCCGCAGGUAGACCAGGAAGAGUCUCACGAACUCCUCACCAUGAUAGCUGUAGCAGCAGCUCACCUGGUGGUGUCAUCAGAUUCUGCUCGGACUGCAGCACUACGAAGACUCCCUUGUGGAGAAGCGGACCGCAGGGUCCCAAGUCUCUUUGUAAUGCCUGCGGGAUAAGGCGGAGGAAGGCGCGACGUGCCAUGGCGCCCGAAGCAGCAGCAGCAGCAGUAGGAAGUGAUGGAAGAAGAAUCCCGGCAGAUAGACCUACAAAAGCUCUCAAACAGAAGAAGAAGAAGAAGAAGAAGAUUCGAUUCGACGACGAUAAGAGCUCAGCUUUCCAUCAGGUCUUCCCCCAGGAUGAAAAGGAUGCAGCCGUCUUGUUGAUGGCUCUCUCUUGUGGCCUCAUCCAUGGUUGAGUCGCCUCCUAUCUCCUGACACAGUAUCAAGGUGUAAUCUUCCAUCUGUUGCUUUAAUGUUCAUCUGUUAUCAAGUUGGGAAUAUCCAUUCUUCAGUACUCCAA
This is a long non-coding RNA of Musa acuminata AAA Group (dessert banana), 3298 nucleotides long. RefSeq lists it as uncharacterized. The record is from RefSeq and is a predicted model, not a curated record. The transcript is spliced from 6 exons. Lineage: Eukaryota; Viridiplantae; Streptophyta; Magnoliopsida; Zingiberales; Musaceae.